AAUGAACGCUGGCGGCGCGCCUAAUACAUGCAAGUCGAGCGAGAAGACGUAGCAAUACGUUUGUAAAGCGGCGAACGGGUGAGGAAUACAUGGGUAACCUACCCUCGAGUGGGGAAUAACUAGCCGAAAGGUUAGCUAAUACCGCGUACGCUCCUUGGACUUCGGUUCAGGGAGGAAAGCGAUACCGUGGGUAUCGCGCUCUUGGUUGGGCUCAUGUCCUAUCAGCUUGUUGGUGAGGAACGGCUCACCAAGGCUUCGACGGGUAGCUGGUCUGAGAGGACGAUCAGCCACACUGGCACUGCGACACGGGCCAGACUCCUGCGGAGGCAGCAGUAAGGAAUAUUGCGCAAUGGGCGAAAGCCUGACGCAGCGACGCCGCGUGGGGGAUGAA
RNAcentral lists this ribosomal RNA (391 nucleotides) under uncultured bacterium. Its description in RNAcentral is "bacterial SSU rRNA". It matches the Rfam family "Bacterial small subunit ribosomal RNA", at positions 29 to 412 of the family's 1533-position model. The record is from RNAcentral.